AGCUCAAUCGGUAGAGCAUCUGACUGUUAAUCAGAGGGUCCUCGGUUCGAGCCCAAGAGGAGGA
Molecule: transfer RNA, 64 nt
Filed under: Solirubrobacterales bacterium
Lineage: Bacteria; Bacillati; Actinomycetota; Thermoleophilia; Solirubrobacterales
Description: tRNA-Asn
Rfam family: tRNA (bases 1-57)
About the family: Transfer RNA (tRNA) molecules are approximately 80 nucleotides in length. Their secondary structure includes four short double-helical elements and three loops (D, anti-codon, and T loops).
Source: RNAcentral